UUUAGCAUGGAAUAAUAGAAUAGGACGCGCGCUCCCAUUUUGUUGGUUUCUGAGAUCGCCGUAAUGAUUAAUAGGGAUAGUUGGGGGCAUUCGUAUUCCGUCGUCAGAGGUGAAAUUCUUGGAUUGCCGGAAGACGAACUAUUGCGAAAGCAUUUGCCAAGGAUGCUUUCAUUGAUCAAGAACGAAGGAAGGGGGAUCGAAAACGAUCAGAUACCGUUGUAGUCUCUUCUGUAAACUAUGCCAAUUGGGGAUUAGCUCAGGAUUUUUAAUGACUGAGUUAGCACCCGAAGAGAAAUCUUUAAAUGAGGUUCGGGGGGGAGUAUGGUCGCAAGGCUGAAACUUAAAGGAAUUGACGGAAGGGCACCACCAGGUGUGGAGCCUGCGGCUUAAUUUGACUCAACACGGGGAAACUCACCAGGUCCAGACACAAUAAGGAUUGACAGAUUGAUAGCUCUUUCUUGAUCUUGUGGUUGGUGGUGCAUGGCCGUUCUUAGUUGGUGGAGUGAUUUGUCUGGUUAAUUCCGAUAACGAACGAGACCUUAACCUGCUAAAUAGACCAGCCGGCUUUGGCUGGCUGCUGUCUUCUUAGAGGGACUAUCAGCGUUUAGCUGAUGGAAGUUUGAGGCAAUAACAGGUCUGUGAUGCCCUUAGAUGUUCUGGGCCGCACGCGCGCUACACUGACAGAGCCAGCGAGUCUACCACCUUGGCCGGAAGGCCUGGGUAAUCUUGUGAAACUCUGUCGUGAUGGGGAUAGGGCAUUGCAAUA
Molecule: ribosomal RNA, 766 nt
Filed under: uncultured fungus
Lineage: Eukaryota; Fungi
Description: SSU rRNA
Rfam family: Eukaryotic small subunit ribosomal RNA
Source: RNAcentral